This 1427-nucleotide ribosomal RNA is filed under the name metagenome. RNAcentral describes it as "bacterial SSU rRNA". It matches the Rfam family "Bacterial small subunit ribosomal RNA". The record is from RNAcentral.
AGAGUUUGAUCCUGGCUCAGGAUGAACGCUGGCGGCGUGCUUAACACAUGCAAGUCGAACGAACCUUCGGGUUAGUGGCGGACGGGUGAGUAACGCGUGAGAAUCUGCCCUCAGGAGGGGGAUAACGGCUGGAAACGGCCGCUAAUACCCCAUAUGCCGAGAGGUGAAAUGAGUUUUCGCCUGAGGAUGAGCUCGCGUCAGAUUAGCUAGUUGGUGAGGUAAGAGCUUACCAAGGCAUCGAUCAGUAGCUGGUCUGAGAGGAUGAUCAGCCACACUGGGACUGAGACACGGCCCAGACUCCUACGGGAGGCAGCAGUGGGGAAUUUUCCGCAAUGGGCGAAAGCCUGACGGGGCAACGCCGCGUGAGGGACGAAGGCCUCUGGGCUGUAAACCUCUUUUCUCAAGGAAGAAGACCUGACGGUACUUGAGGAAUAAGCCACGGCUAAUUCCGUGCCAGCAGCCGCGGUAAUACGGGAGUGGCAAUCGUUAUCCGGAAUUAUUGGGCGUAAAGCGUCCGCAGGCGGCCUUGUAAGUCUGCUGUCAAAGAGUGGAGCUCAACUCCAUAGAGGCAGUGGAAACUAUAAGGCUUGAGUGUGGUAGGGGCAGAGGGAAUUCCCGGUGUAGCGGUGAAAUGCGUAGAUAUCGGGAAGAACACCAGUGGCGAAGGCGCUCUGCUGGGCCAUAACUGACGCUCAUGGACGAAAGCCAGGGGAGCGAAAGGGAUUAGAUACCCCUGUAGUCCUGGCCGUAAACGAUGAACACUAGGUGUCGGGGGAAUCGACCCCCUCGGUGUCGUAGCCAACGCGUUAAGUGUUCCGCCUGGGGAGUACGCACGCAAGUGUGAAACUCAAAGGAAUUGACGGGGGCCCGCACAAGCGGUGGAGUAUGUGGUUUAAUUCGAUGCAACGCGAAGAACCUUACCAGGGUUUGACAUCCUGCGAACCCCUGAGAGAUCGGGGGGUGCCUUCGGGAGCGCAGAGACAGGUGGUGCAUGGCUGUCGUCAGCUCGUGUCGUGAGAUGUUGGGUUAAGUCCCGCAACGAGCGCAACCCACGUCUUUAGUUGCCAGCAUUCAGUUGGGCACUCUAGAGAGACCGCCGGUGAUAAACCGGAGGAAGGUGUGGAUGACGUCAAGUCAUCAUGCCCCUUACAUCCUGGGCUACACACGUACUACAAUGCUACGGACAGAGGGCAGCAAACUCGCGAGAGCUAGCAAAUCCCAUAAACCGUGGCUCAGUUCAGAUCGUAGGCUGCAACUCGCCUACGUGAAGGAGGAAUCGCUAGUAAUCGCAGGUCAGCAUACUGCGGUGAAUACGUUCCCGGGCCUUGUACACACCGCCCGUCACACCAUGGAAGUUGGCCACGCCCGAAGCCGUUACUCCAACCCUUGUGGAGGAGGACGUCGAAGGUGGGGCUGAUGACUGGGGU